GGCUCGGCAAGGCAAACUCUUUCCUGGCCCACAGUGAAUCCGCGGGUUAGAGGAUGGCCAUAAAGGGGUCCACACCGAUUGCGCUGUCCUGGGACUUGUUCCCCUGGCCUGGCGUUCCACCUCCUACCACCACGCAUUUGCCUGGAAAGCUUCUAUCCCUGGCUUCAUCUCCUAAACCAGACCUUUCCUAACACCCCAAGUCGUUGGUAAUCCCCCCCAAACCACACCUCUACAAAUUAUUUUAAAUAUCACGAUGAUGAUAGCUAAUUCCUGCCUAUUGUUUAUCGCUGUGCCCAGGACCAGAAGUAUUGUCCUGCUCCGUCUUCACAAGAACUCCAGGAGGCAGACACUAUUAUUAUCCCCAUUUUACAGAUGGAAAAACAGAGGCAGAUAGAGGUGAAGAGCCUGCCCAAGGCCAUACAGCUUGUGAGGAUCUGAGGUUCUCUCCCCUCCCUCAAGGUGAGGAGGACUGAAGGAAUCAAGUUGGAGAAGACUCUACCCUUCCAUUCCCCCAAAGGCUCGCUGUUCCACUCCUCUGUGAAGUGCCCUACAAGGAAUUCCUCCCACAUUUGCCAAUGGCUUCCAGGAUCUUCCAAGAAGCGUCAGGUCUACCAGGAGGCCAGACAGGACGCGCUUAAGAGCCCAGAAAGGGGGGCCUGGGCUCUCUCCUCAAAUCCAUGCCACCCCCUUCCCCUCCCCUCCUGUUGCCGGCACUGUAAUGGCCUCUGCCAGGCUCUGCAUUCCGUGUUCUCCCCUGCCCAUCCAGCCUUCCGCCUGUUGCUGAUUGUCUUGAGAGGGCGUCGAGCCCCUGAGUCGCAGGCCAAACAAAGCCCAGCUCUUUCAUCUCCCCUCAGAAGGGUCUUGGAGAUCCUGCAGCCCUCUUCUCUCCCUCCAGGGAUGAGGAAAAGAGACCUAGGGUGGGCUUCUUUGGAACUCGGGUCGCAUGCACCAAGUAGGAAGCAGAAGGCAAACAGCAGAGCCUUUCACUGGGACGAGAUAGCAAAAUAAAUACAGAACUGUGGAAAGUCAGACCAGGGAGUACGUUCGGGGCCUUGUGCAAGGUGCCAGGACACGAAAACAAACCGUACAAGGCCCUGACGUCAGAACGUUGAUGUCCUCCUAGCAGGAGAAUUGUCCUCAGGCUCCUGGACAUAAAUGAAUGCAGGGGCAGUUAGAUAAGUCCUGGGCAAGUCACUGAAACCCCGUUACCUAGCCCUUGGAACCAAUCCACAGUGUCCAUUCUAAGACAAAAGAUAAGAGCUUUUAAAUAAAUAAAUAAAAUGAAAACUGUUUCCCA
RNAcentral lists this long non-coding RNA (1297 nucleotides) under Monodelphis domestica (gray short-tailed opossum). RNAcentral describes it as "lncRNA (ENSMODG00000034423.2)". Lineage: Eukaryota; Metazoa; Chordata; Mammalia; Didelphimorphia; Didelphidae. The record is from RNAcentral.